UGCCAGCCGCCGCGGUAAUACAGAGGUGGCGAGCGUUGUUCGGAUUUACUGGGCGUAAAGGGUGCGUAGGUGGUUACGUGUGUCGGGUGUGAAAGCCCACGGCUCAACCGUGGAAUUGCAUUCGAAACUGCGAAACUUGAGUACAGGAGGGGAGAGCGGAAUUCUUGGUGUAGCGGUGAAAUGCGUUGAUAUCAAGAAGAACACCGGUGGCGAAGGCGGCUCUCUGGAAUGUUACUGACACUGAGGCACGAAAGCUGGGGGAGCGAACAGGAUUAGAUA
This 279-nucleotide ribosomal RNA is filed under the name uncultured bacterium. RNAcentral's name for it is "partial 16S ribosomal RNA". It matches the Rfam family "Bacterial small subunit ribosomal RNA", at positions 506 to 784 of the family's 1533-position model. The record is from RNAcentral.